UGAGGCAGGAGAAUCGCUUGAACCCAGGAGGUGGAGGUUGCAGUGAGCCGAGAUUGCGCCACUGCACUCCAGCCUGGGUGACAGCGGGACUCCGUCUCAAAAAAAAAAAAA
Molecule: microRNA precursor, 111 nt
Filed under: Chlorocebus sabaeus (green monkey)
Lineage: Eukaryota; Metazoa; Chordata; Mammalia; Primates; Cercopithecidae
Description: miRNA (ENSCSAG00000025888.1)
Source: RNAcentral